UUUAUGAUCACUCCAACAUCUAGAUAAUCGAAUCCCACCAACGUUAGCAAGCUAUCGAAGACGGGGCGACCAUCAGAAGCCAGGUGACUAGCCCAAAUGGGUAUCCGCUGCAAUCCUCAAUCCCGGUCACCACAUUUAUCAAGGUCUAUAACACUUUUCCGAAGAAAAGCUACCUUCCCUCAAUUUUUAUAUGAUAAUCGAAAUUGAUGCUAACCUGCAAGUAAGGAAGUGCACCAGAAAGGACACGAGUAAACCCGCAUACUAUCAAGUUGAUUCCCUACCAACAUGACUG
This 292-nucleotide ribosomal RNA is filed under the name Acaulospora papillosa. RNAcentral describes it as "partial large subunit ribosomal RNA". Lineage: Eukaryota; Fungi; Glomeromycota; Glomeromycetes; Diversisporales; Acaulosporaceae. The record is from RNAcentral.